Molecule: ribosomal RNA, 447 nt
Filed under: uncultured bacterium
Lineage: Bacteria
Description: bacterial SSU rRNA
Rfam family: Bacterial small subunit ribosomal RNA
Source: RNAcentral
UGAGGAAUAUUGCGCAAUGGGGGAAACCCUGACCCAGCAACGCCGCGUGAAGGAUGAAGUAUUUCGGUAUGUAAACUUCGAAAGAAUAGGAAGAAUAAAUGACGGUACUAUUUAUAAGGUCCGGCUAACUACGUGCCAGCAGCCGCGGUAAUACGUAGGGACCAAGCGUUGUUCGGAUUUACUGGGCGUAAAGGGCGCGUAGGCGGCAUGACAAGUCACUUGUGAAAUCUCUGGGCUUAACCCAGAACGGCCAAGUGAUACUGUCGCGCUAGAGUGCAGAAGGGGCAAUCGGAAUUCUUGGUGUAGCGGUGAAAUGCGUAGAUAUCAAGAGGGACACCUGAGGUGAAGACGGGUUGCUGGGCUGACACUGACGCUGAGGCGCGAAAGCCAGGGGAGCAAACGGGAUUAGAUACCCAGGUAGUCCCUGAGCGGGCUGGCAAGGCGCAU